This is a long non-coding RNA of Neomonachus schauinslandi (Hawaiian monk seal), 154 nucleotides long. RefSeq lists it as uncharacterized. The transcript is spliced from 3 exons. NCBI's taxonomy places the organism in Eukaryota, Metazoa, Chordata, Mammalia, Carnivora, Phocidae. The record is from RefSeq and is a predicted model, not a curated record.
GAUGCGGGCGCCUCCCCUCGGGGGGAGUACCAAAGGGUCACUUUCUGAGGACUCAGACUAUCCCUGUGCUGGAGACCCAAAAGAAAAUGGCAUGACCACUGUGCUGCUGACCCCUGCAUCCCAGGAGUCAUUGGUGAUCAGGGAUAUGGCUGAG